This 339-nucleotide ribosomal RNA is filed under the name Triticum aestivum (bread wheat). RNAcentral's name for it is "partial small subunit ribosomal RNA". The record is from RNAcentral. Lineage: Eukaryota; Viridiplantae; Streptophyta; Magnoliopsida; Poales; Poaceae.
AUGCGUUUAGAAGCUGAUGCAGACCUUACUACGCAUGCUGAAUACUUCAUCAACAACCUCAAAGAGACAUGGAACCGUCAUUAUGAAAACUCAAAGGUCCAGAUCAGACAUUUCCCAAUUGAGUACGUGGCGACUACGAAUCAAGGAAAUCGGCAUGACUGCGGCUUUCACACGUUGGAAUACCUUGCAAAGUGGGAAGGUCGACGGGUUCCUGUCGUCACAACUGCAAUGGUCGUUGAGCUCCGCAAAAUUUAUACAUGGAAUUGGUUGAUGAAUGAAGAUUUCAACACGUGGUCCAACGCACGUGAGUUCAUAGAGGAAGAUGACAAGAAAGUGUGA